UACGUAGGGGGCAAGCGUUGUCCGGAAUCAUUGGGCGUAAAGCGCGUGUAGGCGGCCAGAAAAGUCCGCUGUGAAAACUCGAGGCUCAACCUCGAGCUGUCGGUGGAAACUUUCUGGCUAGAGUCCGGAAGAGGAGAGUGGAAUUCCUGGUGUAGCGGUGAAAUGCGCAGAUAUCAGGAAGAACACCCGUGGCUAAGGCGGCUCUCUAGUACGGUACUGACGCUGAGACGCGAAAGCGUGGGGAGCAAACAGG
RNAcentral lists this ribosomal RNA (253 nucleotides) under uncultured bacterium. RNAcentral describes it as "partial 16S ribosomal RNA". It matches the Rfam family "Bacterial small subunit ribosomal RNA", at positions 524 to 776 of the family's 1533-position model. The record is from RNAcentral.